This 981-nucleotide ribosomal RNA is filed under the name Bacillus safensis. Its description in RNAcentral is "bacterial SSU rRNA". It matches the Rfam family "Bacterial small subunit ribosomal RNA", at positions 73 to 1035 of the family's 1533-position model. The record is from RNAcentral. Lineage: Bacteria; Bacillati; Bacillota; Bacilli; Caryophanales; Bacillaceae.
UGGGAGCUUGCUCCCAAAGGUUAGCGGCGGACGGGUGAGUAACACGUGGGCAACCUGCCCUGUAGAUCGGGAUAACAUCGAGAAAUCGGUGCUAAUACCGGAUAAUUUCUGAGAUCUCCUGGUCUUAGAAUAAAAGAUGGCUCCGGCUAUCACUACGGGAUGGGCCCGCGGCGCAUUAGCUAGUUGGUAAGGUAACGGCUUACCAAGGCGACGAUGCGUAGCCGACCUGAGAGGGUGAUCGGCCACACUGGGACUGAGACACGGCCCAGACUCCUACGGGAGGCAGCAGUAGGGAAUCUUCCGCAAUGGACGAAAGUCUGACGGAGCAACGCCGCGUGAGUGAUGAAGGAUUUCGGUUCGUAAAGCUCUGUUGUUAGGGAAGAACAAGUGUCGUUCAAAUAGGGCGGCACCUUGACGGUACCUAACCAGAAAGCCACGGCUAACUACGUGCCAGCAGCCGCGGUAAUACGUAGGUGGCAAGCGUUGUCCGGAAUUAUUGGGCGUAAAGCGCGCGCAGGCGGUCUUUUAAGUCUGAUGUGAAAGCCCCCGGCUCAACCGGGGAGGGUCAUUGGAAACUGGGAGACUUGAGUACAGAAGAGGAGAGUGGAAUUCCACGUGUAGCGGUGAAAUGCGUAGAUAUGUGGAGGAACACCAGUGGCGAAGGCGACUCUCUGGUCUGUAACUGACGCUGAGGCGCGAAAGCGUGGGGAGCAAACAGGAUUAGAUACCCUGGUAGUCCACGCCGUAAACGAUGAGUGCUAGGUGUUAGGGGUUUCGAUGCCCUUAGUGCCGAAGUUAACACAUUAAGCACUCCGCCUGGGGAGUACGACCGCAAGGUUGAAACUCAAAGGAAUUGACGGGGGCCCGCACAAGCAGUGGAGCAUGUGGUUUAAUUCGAAGCAACGCGAAGAACCUUACCAGGUCUUGACAUCCUUUGACAAUCCUAGAGAUAGGACUUUCCCCUUCGGGGGACAAAGUGAC